GAGGACCACACCCAUCGUAGCCCCUCUAUGAUGCAAGUCGUAAGAAGAAUAAAUAAUAACCAAAGUAAAAUCACACUCACAUUUAUGAAAUGAUUAAUUUUUUGAUAAAUGAACUAUAUAUUGUAAAAAAUUUCGGUUAAAGUACUGAAAAAAAAUUUUUUAUCAUAACGAGUUCUUAAGCUGCAAGUGAAUUAAGCGCUGAAAUUUUGUCAACGGUUAUUUUCAAGGACUGAAGGAUAUAAGCCAACCCGCUUGUCUCGAACAUUUCCCCUCCCAUCUUGCCUACUGGUUUGGAGGCUCAUUGUCCAGAAAUAUGAAAGAGUAGGAAUAAGAAAAUAGGCCUAACCCUCAACUAAAUGUGUUUAAAAAUCAGUCCUAUUUCUCCCAGUCCUAUUUCUACAGGAAGAAUAGGACUGGAAAUUUUCAGUCCUAUUUCUUCAGUCCUAUUUCGUUUCGGUCCUAUUUCACCGGCUACCCAAGUCAGUCAAGAACAAGGAACAAUUUAAGUGGUCAAGUCUCAAAUUCUAGAUUGUAUUCGAUAACACAUUUUUGUACUCGGAGUCUCGGACUGAGUGAGUUGACAGAAAAAGAAUCUUGGAAACAUUGUCAAAAACACGAAUCAUGGCGCCACCUACGAAACGUCUUCAACCCUUACAGCCUUACAACAAAACUGGAAACAGUGGAAAGGCACAUUUCAUUGAUACGUGGCUGGACAUAGUUGAAUUUAAACCUUGGCUCGAGAAAAAAAUAGUUUCAUCAUACGGGGGGUUCCAGGCCUACUGUGUUGUCUGUGAUGAAGUUAUAAGCAACCAUGAGUAAACAAUCCAAAACCAUAUGAAGAGUACCAAACAUCGUAAAAAAUUGCCACAAUACGACGACAUUAUUACGGCGAGACAAGCACUAUUGUCAUACAUUGGUCGGGCGAAAAAAGAAGACAUUUCAACUACGAAAUGGUAGUAUGCUCUCUGAUCGCGGAAAAAGUCUUUCGAUAAGUCUUGUCGACCAUUUGAUUCCGACAAUGCGGUGAUUGCAUCCGAAAGAUGGAAUACUAAAACAAGUGAAGCUUGGACGGACUAAGGCCACCAGUAUCAUCAAAGAUGGAUUUGGAAACGGUCUGAAGAAAAUGUUUGUGGAGAAACUUAGAACUACUUUCUUUUCAAUCGUGAUCGAUGAGACAACGGAUGUGACAGUCGAAAGCCAACUUGCUGUAAUGGUCCAUUACUGGGACUCUGCGGAGUUUAAACUAAUGGUAUAUGUCUUGGAUUUCGUCAUGUGUAAGGAAGCCACAACAGAUGGGCUAUCCGUUUCAGUUCUCGGCCUACUGGAUAAUUUGCACAUUCCAUCGGAUAACUUCAUCGGGUUCUCUGCCGACACAUGCAAUGUAAUUGUAAUGUUCGAAGUUAACCACUCUGUUUCAACAAUUUUAAAAGAAAGAAUAUCCGCCAUAGUGGUUGUCAAAUGUUCUUGCCAUUCCUGCCAUCUCGUAGCAAACUAUGCUUCGAAAGCUUUGCCGGAUCAGUUGGAAACAACUUUGCUCUAUAUCAAUCUAUAACAGUCGACUACACCCAUUGAAAAAAAUGCAGGUGCGAUUCGUCUCAAGGAUCGACUAGU
Molecule: long non-coding RNA, 1611 nt
Organism: Daphnia magna
Lineage: Eukaryota; Metazoa; Arthropoda; Branchiopoda; Diplostraca; Daphniidae
Exons: 5
Source: RefSeq, a predicted model, not a curated record